UCCACACAAUUGUUUGUUUUCAAACUUGGUUUUUUCAUGUUUGGGUUUUCGUUUUUUUCCUGUUUAUUUUUUCUGGUGAGGGAAAUGAGGAGAAA
RNAcentral lists this non-coding RNA (95 nucleotides) under Synedropsis cf. recta. The record is from RNAcentral. Lineage: Eukaryota; Bacillariophyta; Fragilariophyceae; Fragilariales; Fragilariaceae.